This 301-nucleotide ribosomal RNA is filed under the name uncultured bacterium. Its description in RNAcentral is "partial 16S ribosomal RNA". It matches the Rfam family "Bacterial small subunit ribosomal RNA", at positions 509 to 807 of the family's 1533-position model. The record is from RNAcentral.
CAGCCGCCGCGGGAAUACAGAGGGUGCGAGCGUUAAUCGGAUUUACUGGGCGUAAAGCGUGCGUAGGCGGCUUCUUAAGUCGGAUGUGAAAUCCCUGAGCUUAACUUAGGAAUUGCAUUCGAUACUGGGAAGCUAGAGUAUGGGAGAGGAUGGUAGAAUUCCAGGUGUAGCGGUGAAAUGCGUAGAGAUCUGGAGGAAUACCGAUGGAGAAGGCAGCCAUCUGGCCUAAUACUGACGCUGAGGUACGAAAGCAUGGGGAGCAAACAGGAUUAGAUACCCCUGUAGUCCCUGUCUCUUAUAC